Molecule: long non-coding RNA, 223 nt
Filed under: Lathyrus oleraceus (garden pea)
Lineage: Eukaryota; Viridiplantae; Streptophyta; Magnoliopsida; Fabales; Fabaceae
Description: Pisum sativum (pea) long non-coding RNA (PSAT_LNC000787)
Source: RNAcentral
GAAGAUGAAGAGGGAAAAGGGAAGUAGAAACACAAAUUGAUCAUGAGAGGAAUUUCAUCUGAUCAAUACCAUCCAUUCAUUUUGGAAGAUGAAAUGUACAUUUCAUCAAUCACCUAAAUCCAAUGGUUUUAAUCAAACAAAAAUCAAAUCAACCAUGAACAAGGCCCAAACAGAAAGUCAAACAUCACAAGACCAUAAAAAUGACUCAACAUAAUUUUUAAAC